GGGAUUACAGGCUUGAGCCACCGCGCCCGGCCCAUCACGGUCUUGAUGGUAAUGAAAACCCACUCACUUCUUUGCCUGGUGGUCUGACCAAUGGCCCCUAUAUGUCCUGCCUGAAGCUCCAGGGACUAGCUCCAGAACAUGCUGGAAGGAGGGCUUGGCUCUCUGCCAUAAAUUACAAAUUAUCUUAUGGGCAUCCCAUCCACCCAUCCAUCCAUUCUUUCAACAUGUGCUUGUUGAGUACCAGCUCUGUGCCAGGUCCAUACAGACAGUCUGUGCCUGGAGGGAGCCUGUAGUCUUGCUGGGAGACAAAGAUGGGUUAUCAGGAGAAUGCAAUGCAGCGUGACAUGUGCUGUGAUAUCCAGGGCACUUUGCAGGGGACCUGAUCCUGUCUGUGAUGAGAGUUCACAAAGAAAGUGCGGUCUUAGGGCUUGAAAGGUAAACAAGACUGAACCAGUAGAGUAAGGAGGAGGAGUCAGGGACAAUAUGCUUACAAGAAGCAAGAGCAUGGGAACUGCCUGGAGAUUUUUCAAACUGCAGGACCCAAAUGAGGAUCUGAAAACAAUUGAGUCUGGCAUAUUGUUGACUGCAGGCAGGAGUGGUGAGGGCUGAGGUGGAAGAGGAAAGAGAGAACUGGAUCUUAUAGGGACAUUUUUAGGCACCUUUUGAGCACCUCGCAAGUUGCAGAGGGGGGUGGAUUUGAACACGUAUAAAACAAAUUUUGUGGCUGGGCACGGUGGUUCCCGCUUGUAAUCCCAGCAUUUUGGGAGACUCAGACGGGCGGAUCACGAGGUCAGGAGAUUGAGACCAUCUUGGCUAACACGGUGAAACCCCAUCUCUACUAAAAAUACAAAAAAAUUAGCUGGGCAUGGUGGCACGUGUCUGUAGUCCCAGCUACUCAGGAGGCUGAGGCAGGAGAAUCGCUUGAACCCAGGAGGCGGAGGUCACAGUAAGCAGAGAUCGCGCCACUGCACUUCAGCCUGGGGCACAGAGCAAGACUCUGUCUCAAAAAAAAAAACAAAAAAAAAACUGUGGACCCAUUUGGAGAGACUAUGGAAGAUGAAAGGAACGGUCAGAGCACCUGGAGUCAGAUUUGGGGUCCCGGAUCCUCAGAGCUGUAAAUACGAUGCCCAACCCCGAGUCCACCCCUCCCUACUGACUCAGGGUAUGCCAGCCACCCAGGAGGGCGCUUCUUUUCAAGGGAGAGCGGUCUUCUUGAAAACAGCCCCAUGCGCCUCCCUAGCCCGCUAUCCUGUGAUCCUCUCUUAAGAUGUUCUUAAGAACAUCUCUUCUUCCUCAAUCAAGGAUUUGAUGACUGUCACCGCCCAUACCCUAUCUUCUCUCCUCUAGGUUGGGCGGUCUCAGGUCUUAGAAAUCAUUCCUGGCUGGGUACGGCGCCUCACGCCUGUCAUCCCAGCACUUUGGGAGGCCAAGGCGGGCGGAUCACGAGUUCAGGAGAUCGAGACCAUCCUGGCUAACAUGGUGACAACCUGUCUCUACUAAAAAUACAAAAAAUUAGCCGGGCUUGGUGGCUGCCGCCUGUAGUCCCAGCUACUUGAGAAGCUGAGGCAGGAGAAUGGCGUAAGUAAACCAAGAGGUGGAGCUUGCAGUGAACCGAGAUUGCACCACUGCACUCCAGCCUGGGCGACAGAGCGAGACUACGUCUCAAAAAAAAAAAAAA
This is a long non-coding RNA of Macaca fascicularis (crab-eating macaque), 1678 nucleotides long. NCBI's taxonomy places the organism in Eukaryota, Metazoa, Chordata, Mammalia, Primates, Cercopithecidae. The record is from Ensembl.